AUUGAACGCUGGCGGCAGGCCUAACACAUGCAAGUCGAACGGUAACAGGAAGCAGCUUGCUGCUUCGCUGACGAGUGGCGGACGGGUGAGUAAUGUCUGGGAAGCUGCCUGAUGGAGGGGGAUAACUACUGGAAACGGUAGCUAAUACCGCAUAAUGUCGCAAGACCAAAGAGGGGGACCUUCGGGCCUCUUGCCAUCGGAUGUGCCCAGAUGGGAUUAGCUUGUUGGUGGGGUAACGGCUCACCAAGGCGACGAUCCCUAGCUGGUCUGAGAGGAUGACCAGCCACACUGGAACUGAGACACGGUCCAGACUCCUACGGGAGGCAGCAGUGGGGAAUAUUGCACAAUGGGCGCAAGCCUGAUGCAGCCAUGCCGCGUGUAUGAAGAAGGCCUUCGGGUCGUAAAGUACUUUCAGCGGGGAGGAAGGGAGUAAAGUUAAUACCUUUGCUCAUUGACGUUACCCGCAGAAGAAGCACCGGCUAACUCCGUG
This 490-nucleotide ribosomal RNA is filed under the name uncultured bacterium. RNAcentral describes it as "partial 16S ribosomal RNA". It matches the Rfam family "Bacterial small subunit ribosomal RNA", at positions 30 to 507 of the family's 1533-position model. The record is from RNAcentral.